RNAcentral lists this ribosomal RNA (255 nucleotides) under uncultured bacterium. RNAcentral describes it as "partial 16S ribosomal RNA". It matches the Rfam family "Bacterial small subunit ribosomal RNA", at positions 524 to 777 of the family's 1533-position model. The record is from RNAcentral.
UACGUAGGGGGCAAGCGUUGUUCGGAAUUACUGGGCGUAAAGGGCGCGUAGGCGGUCAGCACAAGUCAGUUGUGAAAUCUCCGGGCUUAACUCGGAAAGGUCAACUGAUACUGUGCGACUAGAGUGCAGAAGGGGCAACUGGAAUUCUCGGUGUAGCGGUGAAAUGCGUAGAUAUCGAGAGGAACACCUGCGGCGAAGGCGGGUUGCUGGGCUGACACUGACGCUGAUGCGCGAAAGCCAGGGGAGCGAAGCGGG